This 380-nucleotide ribosomal RNA is filed under the name Anthomyza furvifrons. RNAcentral's name for it is "partial 16S large subunit ribosomal RNA". Lineage: Eukaryota; Metazoa; Arthropoda; Insecta; Diptera; Anthomyzidae. The record is from RNAcentral.
CGAAGGUAGCAUAAUCAGUAGUCUUUUAAUUGAAGGCUGGAAUGAAUGGUUUGACGAAAUAUUAACUGUUUCAUUUAAAAUUUUUAUAGAAUUUUAUUUUUUAGUUAAAAAGCUAAAAUUAUAUUAAAAGACGAGAAGACCCUAUAAAUCUUUAUAUUUUAUUUAUAUUAAUUAUUUAGAUAUUUUUAAUUAUUAUUAAUUAAAAUAUUUUAUUGGGGUGAUAUUAAAAUUUAAUUAACUUUUAAUUUUAAAUACAUAAAUUUAUGGUUGUUUGAUCCAUCAUUGAUGAUUAAAAAUUUAAGUUACUUUAGGGAUAACAGCGUAAUUUUUUUGGAGAGUUCAUAUCGAUAAAAAAGAUUGCGACCUCGAUGUUGGAUUAA